RNAcentral lists this unclassified non-coding RNA (921 nucleotides) under Polistes dominula (European paper wasp). RNAcentral describes it as "zinc finger Ran-binding domain-containing protein 2- like, transcript variant X2". The record is from RNAcentral. Lineage: Eukaryota; Metazoa; Arthropoda; Insecta; Hymenoptera; Vespidae.
GUUAGCUAAUAAUACUAAUUAAAAAAUACCUGAACAAAAUAUUCUCUGACACAUACUUACAUACAUACACAAAAAUGGAUGUUAAUAAAGUUGAUGAAGAUAAUCCACGUAGUAUCAACGAUGGUGAUUGGGUCUGUCCAGAUUCUCAGUGUGCUAAUGUCAAUUUUGCAAGACGAAGCUCUUGUAAUCGUUGUGGAAAAGACAGAGGUGAAUGUACAAAGAAGAAAAAGUUGGGACAAGAAAUUGGUAAAGCAGCUGCAGAAAAAAGUAGAGGAUUGUUUAGUGCAGAUGAUUGGCAAUGUAGCAAAUGUGGUAACGUGAAUUGGGCACGUCGACAACAAUGUAAUAUGUGUAAUGCACCUAAAUUUGGUGAAAUAGAAGAACGUACUGGAUAUGGUGGUGGUUACAAUGAUCGGGGUAUCGUUGAAUAUAAAGAAAGAAGAGAAGAUGACGAUGAUUAUGAUGAAUUUGGUAGACGUAAAAAAAAGAGGAAGAUUGAAAAUCGUUCUGACGAUGAUUCUAAAGAUUCUAGGUACAACAGUCCUUCUCAUUGUAAAGCCAAAGAAGAUGAAAAAGAUGAGAUAGCUGAGGAAGAAGUAGAAAAAGUUAAAGAAAAUGAUAAUGAAGAAGAAGAAGAAGAAGAAGAACAAGCAGAAGAAGAGGAAGAAGAGGAAGAAGAGGAAGAAGAGGAAGAUGAAGAGGAAGAUGAUGAUGAUGACGAUGGAGAUUUAUCAAAAUAUGAUCUUAGUGAAUGGGACACCUUGGGAGCAGUUAAAAAUAGCACAAAUGGAAAUACAGUUACUUCGGAAGAACAACGGUCAAGGUAAUGAGGAAAUGGAGAUGAUUGGCGUGAUUCAGGUACAUCCAGCCACUGAGAAGUUAUGCAGAAGGACAGGCAGAAGAAAAUACUUGGAGCAACAA